RNAcentral lists this long non-coding RNA (1350 nucleotides) under Pogona vitticeps (central bearded dragon). RNAcentral's name for it is "lncRNA (ENSPVIG00000011920.1)". Lineage: Eukaryota; Metazoa; Chordata; Lepidosauria; Squamata; Agamidae. The record is from RNAcentral.
AUGGCGGAGGAACGGGAGGCCCUGAUUUCCUACGAGGAGCCAGAACCUGUCGCGGUUCCUGAAGAACCAGAGGUCACAGCUGUUCCUGAAGAACCUGCACCUCCUAUUGUGCCGAAAAAACCCAAGCCUGUGGCUGUACCUAAAAAAGCAGAACCUGCCCCUGUGCCGAAAAAGCCAGAACCUGCUGUGGUGCCGAAAAAACCACAACCUGCAGCUCCACCCAAAAAGCCCGAGCCAGCGCCAGUACCUGAAAAGCCCAAACUCGUUCCUGUGCUGAAAAAACCAGAAGCUAAGAAACCAGAACCUGCGUUUAAAAAACCAGAAGCUCCAGCAGUUGAAGCUUUGGUUCACGAAGAGGAACGAGAGGUACAGACUUUUAUUGGGUACAGAGAACGGAAACACAUUUCUGUUCACCAAGACCUCGAGGCCAUCGCUGCCCUUGAACCGGAACGGGCUUCAGCUUUCGAAGAGCCGGAGCCAGAGGAAUAUGUUGCUGAGGUACGAGAGGCCCUGAUUGCCUACGAAGAACCAGAACCUCCUUCUGCUCCCGAAGAACCGAAAGUGGCUGCCCCAGUAGAACCUAAAAAACCUGAACGGCCGCCUGCAAAAGUGCCCGAGGUACCCAAGAAAGAUGUUCCAGAAAAGAAAGUACCAGCUCCUGUGCUUAAAAAAAUUAAACCACCGCCUCCAAAAGUGCCCGAAGAGCCCAAGAAAAUUGUUCCUGAGAAGAAAAUACCUGCGGUUGCCCUUAAAAAACCAGAGCCUCCACCUGCCAAAGUGCCUGAAGCACCUAAGAAAGCUGUGCCAGAAGAAAAAGUACCUGCGGUUGUGCCUAAAGAGCCAGAACCCCUGCCCCCUACAGAGCCCGAAGUUACUGAGGAAAUUGAACCGGAAGAACUAAUACCUGCUCCUGUUCCAGAAAAAGAAGAAAUAAUUCCCACAGAAGAAGAGCCAGAACCAGAAAAGAAGAUACCUGAAAAACCUAAACCCCGUGUACCUUUCCCACCAAAAGAGGAAGUUAAGGAGGAAAAGGUUCCAUUUAAAGUACCUGGACUGAAACCACGGAAACAGCUUCCUCCACCACCUCCGACACCAAAGGAAGAAGUUGUUUUGAAAAAAGUUCCAAGAGCCGUUAAGAAGCCUGAGGAGGAAGAAGCCAAACCCGAGAAAGACUUAAAAGUUGAACCCAAGCCUGUUAUUGAAAAGAUCAAGAAGCCUGAAGUGCCAGAGAUUCCGAAGAAGAAAACUGAGAUCUUGCCUUUAAAGAAAAGGGAGGAGAAAGAGAAACCUGUUCCUGAACCAGCCAAAGGUACAAAGAUGUGGCAUUCUUACCUUUGCUGCUACAACUAA